AGUGAACGCUGGCGGCAGGCCUAACACAUGCAAGUCGAGCGGCAGCGCGGGGGCAACCCUGGCGGCGAGCGGCGGACGGGUGAGGAAUACAUCGGAAUCUACCUUCUUGUGGGGGAUAACGUAGGGAAACUUACGCUAAUACCGCAUGAGACCUGAGGGUGAAAGCAGGGGAUCGCAAGGCCUUGCGCGAGAAGAUGAGC
Molecule: ribosomal RNA, 200 nt
Filed under: uncultured bacterium
Lineage: Bacteria
Description: partial 16S ribosomal RNA
Rfam family: Bacterial small subunit ribosomal RNA
Source: RNAcentral